GGGGCUGGGGCUCAGUGGUAGAGCACUUGCCUGGCAUGCAUGAGGCCCUGGGUUUGAUCCUCAGCACCA
RNAcentral lists this transfer RNA (69 nucleotides) under Ictidomys tridecemlineatus (thirteen-lined ground squirrel). RNAcentral's name for it is "Spermophilus tridecemlineatus (thirteen-lined ground squirrel) tRNA". It matches the Rfam family "tRNA". Rfam says of the family: Transfer RNA (tRNA) molecules are approximately 80 nucleotides in length. Their secondary structure includes four short double-helical elements and three loops (D, anti-codon, and T loops). Lineage: Eukaryota; Metazoa; Chordata; Mammalia; Rodentia; Sciuridae. The record is from Rfam by way of RNAcentral.